This is a non-coding RNA of Potamilus streckersoni, 77 nucleotides long. The record is from the annotation of a GenBank genome assembly. NCBI's taxonomy places the organism in Eukaryota, Metazoa, Mollusca, Bivalvia, Unionida, Unionidae.
AACCUCUCCGGUGGCCUAGUGGUUAGAGCGUCCGCCUCACAUGCUGGAGGUCGUGGGUUCGAUCACCGGUCGAGUCA